GACGAACGCUGGCGGCGUGCCUAACACAUGCAAGUGGAGCGACGAACCGGGCUUCGGCCCGGGGCAAAGCCGCGAACGGGUGAGUAACACGUGGGUAACCUGCCCCGAUGACCGGGACAACUCGAGGAAACUCGGGCUAAUACCGGAUGUGCUCACGCCACAUCAGUGGUGUGAGCAAAGGUAAGCUUCGGCCUCCGCAUCGGGAUGGGCCCGCGGCCCAUUAGCUUGUUGGUGGGGAAU
This 240-nucleotide ribosomal RNA is filed under the name uncultured bacterium. RNAcentral describes it as "partial 16S ribosomal RNA". It matches the Rfam family "Bacterial small subunit ribosomal RNA", at positions 28 to 260 of the family's 1533-position model. The record is from RNAcentral.